This 27-nucleotide non-coding RNA is filed under the name Homo sapiens (human). Lineage: Eukaryota; Metazoa; Chordata; Mammalia; Primates; Hominidae. The record is from RNAcentral.
UGAGUGUCGCACUAGGAUUUUCAUUGC